RNAcentral lists this long non-coding RNA (1129 nucleotides) under Homo sapiens (human). RNAcentral's name for it is "non-protein coding LINC00471:9". The stretch from base 1002 to 1129 matches the Rfam family "U2 spliceosomal RNA". Lineage: Eukaryota; Metazoa; Chordata; Mammalia; Primates; Hominidae. The record is from RNAcentral.
CAAAAUGCCAAAACACUUUUGAUCAAGAACCUGCCUGACAAAGUCACUCCACAUGAAUUAAAAGAAGUGUUUGAGGAUGCUUUUCAAAUCAGAUUAGUGAGCAAAGAUGGGAUGAGUAAAAAGUAUGUUUUGCACCUCGUACUGAAUAAGAAUGUAUGUCUACUGGAUACAAACAUAAUGGAAUUUCCUUACAUUCUCUCAAAUCUUUUAUGCCUGAUUUUAGAGAAGGAAAGAGUAGUUAUCCAGAUUUCUGCCAGUAGGCAUAAAAAGCCAAAGGGGACAUCAUAAAGGGACAGCCAAAACUCCUAGAAAACUGUAGUGGUGCUAUAGAGAAAUAGAGACUUCAUCUGCUACCAAGUACAAGAUUGAAGAUUGGAAUUUAUUCAUAGAUUAUGUACAUUCUGUCUUCUCUCUCCAGGGCUGACUCCACUAGAAUAAUGUACUUAGUAACUUGCUUGGACAGGUACCAAAAUAGCACAUAGAAUUGAAUUGUUAGGUUUAUGUUGUAACCAAUUAAUGAAACACUGUCCUUAGAUAUCUAGGCUUUGGUAGAGUAAGAGAGUGAAUAUGGUGAAAUUAGAGAGGGUGGAGUAUAAUAUAUUUUGAAGGGAUUGUCAUUGAGGUGAAAAUUGAGUAUUGGGUUUACAGAUACAUUUGAGCUAAAUAUGUUGGUGUAGGUGAACUCUAAAAUAAUCUGUAGCAGUAUGUUCUGAUGAACAUAAUCUCUAGAAAGAAUACUACAGAUCUUCAAGCAUAAGAUAGAACUGUAUGUAUUGACCUGGAAAGCCAUGAUAAAUAUGAGGAAACAAAUCUGAAAGAAUAAAUUCCAAAUUGUUAGCAGUGUUUACUAGGAGGAGAUUUGGGAGCACUCUGCCUAUAGUCUCCAGAAAACCAGCAAACAAGUUCCUGCCAAAAGCUAUAUAAUUUCUCGAAGUUUAAUUAGGUUUUAAUUAAAUAUACUUAAAUCUUUGUAAUCAUUUCUCUACCUGAAGAAUUACUGUAUCACUUCUCAGCCUUUUGGCUAAGAUCAAGUGUAGUAUCUGUUUUUUCAGUUUAAUAUCUGAUAUGUCCUAAAUUAAAAAUAAUAAAAAAUAAAUAAAGGGGAGAUAAGAGAAACCAGAGACUCCAU